CACAACUUUAAUUAACAUAUGGUACUGAUUGUCAUAUACAUAUAGUUCAUUUGUUCUAAGCAUAAUCACCCAAACACCAUACGUCACGCUCAAACCAAGAGCACGAAACAUUUUUUAUUCCAUUAACUAAUUGGCACAUACAUACACUUCAAUCUGUUCUAAACAAAACCACCGAGGAACCAUACAUCAGGUUUACAAAAGGACAGUCAAAAGGUGCAAGUAUGAGACAUCAGUUGUACAAAAUGAAAGCUAAAACAUCUAGUUGACGUGGAUCGUUGGCUUCAUGGUUCCUUGUGAGUGUAGUCCUUUUUGCUUCCUACAAAAGUUAAUCAAUUCUCAGUUAUAAUACACUAUUAGAAACUAUACUACAGUACCAAAAUGCCAACAUACAGGAUCAUCACAUUCUCAAAAAUAUAAAUAGUAAUAAAUACAGAGAAUUCAAUAAUCAUGUGUUAACACUAACGUUGAUCCUCGGUUGAGAUUGUUCGCACUAAUCUUUAUAUUUUGUAUCCGCAUACUUAGUUUGCUUUCGUUAUGCAUGUAACAUAGAUGGUCUAGGAGUAUCUAGUCGUUGAAGGUUAAAUCGAGUGCACGGAGGAGGCGAGAUACCGGGCUGCAGUGCGAUGCGGCGAGCAUGGUGAGAUGUCGAUGGCGGCGUGAAGCCGCGGUGCUGUGUGAUGCAGCACGCCGUGUGAAGCGGCAAGGCGCUUGACGACUGGAAUAGCUAGAGGAGAAUAGGCAAGUUAGUUUGUUUGUCAGCUACAUGGCCGCUGACCAGGUGUGUGGCCGUUGAGUGGAGAUGCGCAAGUGGACAUGCAUGCAUGUAGGGAUUAAGUGCAUGGAAUUAGUUGUGUGAGUGGGAGUGAGUUAGUGCCUAGACGUGAUGUUAGUGGCCGGAUGUGGCGCCUGAGUGGCCGCAUAUUAAGAAGCUACAUCAGUUUGUGAUGAAAAUCAUUCCUAUCCGCAGCAAGAGUUUUCAAUGUGCGCAAACCUUGACAAGUGAUGUCCGGUCAUCGGCUCGCCAGACCAAGAUGUGCGCCACUAAAAAUUCCUGAACAAUAGUGGUUGCUAACCAACUGAAACAGGAGAAAAGGGGAUUCAGGCUAACCAGCUGAAGCAGGAUAAAAGAUGCACCAAAACAAGCUAGAAAUGAUGUGCACACGUCAGCAUGCAUCCUUACAAAAGGGGCACGUAGGAAGAUCUCUUUAUAAUAUGUUAUGCAUGUAGGGAUAAUCAUCAUUCGAGUAGAGUCAGCAUUACACUUCUGCAACUUCUACAGCAAUAAUGACAUUAUAUAUUAGUAUAUUACAUCACCUCUAUGAAAUUUACUGCUGCUGAGCAAAAAAGGAUUACAUAAUAUAUUUUAUAGUGAGACAUUUCUUUUUACCAAAACGAUUAAGAGAAAAGAAUGGCGCUGAACUAAACAAAGGGAAGUGACCAUAAGUUGAGUAAUAUUGGUAAAAACGACAAUCAACAAUACUCAUUGGAAUAAGAUUUAAAUUACAUGGUCGAAUAAGAUCUCCUUAUCUCGAUGAAUCUCAAACUGGGAUUUCGAUAUCUCAAUAAAUCUGAGAUUCAGAGUUUCUAAAAGCUGCAAUAAUGCUUUACAAAUCAGAGCUUACCUAAAAUUAAAGAAUAUCUUGCCCAGAAGCCGAGGUAGGGACUCAUUGAGUAUGAGUACGACUAUAAACUGCAAACUGUAUGCUAGCUCUAAUCUUGGUUGAAAGUUUUAAGAGCCAAUUCUGAAGGCAUCCGACUGUCAGCACCUGCAACAUCUCAUGUAAUAUGAAUACCAGUUUUGUGUAAAUCAUGUAAUAACAUUAAACAUCAAUGUUGAAUUUACACAACCAUACUGUUAGUAACAAAGGCAUGAAUGAAACAAAAAGAAUGUGGCCUAUCUAAUAAUAGUAGGAAGAGCAACAUAAAUCCAUAUUCUCCUUGCAAUGUGGCUUAUCUAAUAAAAGUACGAAGAGCAAAAUAAAUCUAUGUUCUCCCAGCAUUCUAUGGUGCAUGUUUUGCCCUGUUUGUGAGCAGAAGAAUAUGCAGGCUACUGUGAAAGCCAAGUUGUGCCUAACAAUCAACAUUCCAAGUUUCAGAUAGGAUAUGAACCAAGAAAAUACUGAUUUUCUAUACAGACAUCACAGUUGUGGUGAUUUCCGCGAAGAGGUGCAACCUGUUGGCGGCGUCGGAUGGCUUGGGCUCCGAGUCCAGCACCGCUGCAGCAGCCUCCCACUCCGUCUAAGUGUAUGGGAUGCAAAGAAGAAUCCUGGGAAAAUAUGGGAUACAUGAACUAUUCUGGAAGUUACAGAACUACUGAAGCAAAUUUAAAGAUAAAAUAGAACUGUAAAAUCUAUAGAAGCAUGACUGUAUAAAUACAAACUGCUAGAUAUGUACUUUAUCUUCAUUCCAGUAAAACUGAACUAAUUUUAAUAUAGUCCUAUGUUUGCCAGAAUUCUACAAUGUUUAAAUAAAAGUCUGAAACAUUAGUAUGAUUAUUUGGACUUUUUGUGGAACCUGAAGCUAGUUCUCAGGGUUGUCCCUCGUCUCAAAGCACAGAUAUGUGGAUACGUUUUUCUAUAUAAAUAAAGUAAUGAAUUUUCAUAUGAUGAAUACCCAUGUAUUGACCUUCAGGCACGCAUAGCAUAAUUUGAUAGUCUGGCAAGGGUUCAAACAUCACAAAUUACAACUCACAAGCUCUAAAGUUCACAAAUCAAUCACAACCAGUUCAUAAAAAACAGUAGCUAAUUAAGGUUUCCUGCAACACUACUGAAAGGAAUACCUGUAGCAUAGAUUAUUUUUUUCAAUAAUAGCAUCAAGCUUGUUCUUCUCAAGUUCUCAUAUCCAGAAAUCACACGAGAUGUAGCUCUUAGACUGCAUUGCCUGCUACCCCAUUAGCAGAUAGAGCCCCUGUUUUUGAUGCUCUGCUUGAGCUGGAGCUCACAUCCAAAACGCUGCUUGCUGGAUAGAAGUACUAUCCCAAGUCAUGGCUGAUCUGAACGGAAAAGGCAAAAGCAAAUAAAUCAACUAACGGCAGCACCGAUUGAGGAUGGGUGGAGAGGGAGAGGAGAGUGAAAAGAACACUCACCGCCCGGGGAGGGGAAGCACCAGCAGUCAACGGCCAGAUCCUUCUUCAAACAAACCGACGAGCGCAGAUCGGAGGAAGCCCAUGGCGUGGCGGCGGUGGUGGCGGCCCCUGGGUGGCGACA
RNAcentral lists this long non-coding RNA (3206 nucleotides) under Triticum aestivum (bread wheat). RNAcentral's name for it is "long non-coding RNA (TAES_LNC009003)". The record is from RNAcentral. Lineage: Eukaryota; Viridiplantae; Streptophyta; Magnoliopsida; Poales; Poaceae.